This 252-nucleotide ribosomal RNA is filed under the name uncultured bacterium. RNAcentral describes it as "partial 16S ribosomal RNA". It matches the Rfam family "Bacterial small subunit ribosomal RNA", at positions 524 to 776 of the family's 1533-position model. The record is from RNAcentral.
UACGGAGGAUGCGAGCGUUAUCCGGAUUUAUUGGGUUUAAAGGGUGCGUAGGCGGAUCGUUAAGUCAGUGGUCAAAUUGAGGGGCUCAACCCCUUCCCGCCAUUGAAACUGGCGAUCUUGAGUGGAAAAGAAGUAUGCGGAAUGCGUGGUGUAGCGGUGAAAUGCAUAGAUAUCGCGCAGAACCCCGAUUGCGAAGGCAGCAUGCCGGCUUCCUACUGACGCUGAAGCACGAAAGCGUGGGGAUCGAACAGG